This 268-nucleotide ribosomal RNA is filed under the name uncultured soil bacterium. Its description in RNAcentral is "partial 16S ribosomal RNA". It matches the Rfam family "Bacterial small subunit ribosomal RNA", at positions 26 to 281 of the family's 1533-position model. The record is from RNAcentral.
AGAAUGAACGCUGGCGGCGUGCUUAACACAUGCAAGUCGAGCGAGGCCAGGGGGGCAACUCCCUGAGUCGAGCGGCGGACGGGUGAGUAACACGUGGGUAACCUACCCGGAAGUGGGGAAUACCUCGGGGAAACUCGAGCUAAUACCGCAUGACAUCUCGAGGACGAAAGUCCUUGUGAUCAAAGCGGGCCGCAAGGCCUCGUGCUACCGGAUGGGCCCGCGCCCGAUUAGCUAGUUGGCGAGGUAAUGGCUCACCAAGGCGACGAUC